This 253-nucleotide ribosomal RNA is filed under the name uncultured bacterium. Its description in RNAcentral is "partial 16S ribosomal RNA". It matches the Rfam family "Bacterial small subunit ribosomal RNA", at positions 524 to 776 of the family's 1533-position model. The record is from RNAcentral.
UACGUAGGGGGCAAGCGUUGUCCGGAUUUAUUGGGCGUAAAGCGCGUGUAGGCGGCCAUACAGGUCCGUUGUGAAAACUCGAGGCUCAACCUCGAGACGUCGAUGGAAACCGUAUGGCUAGAGUCCGGAAGAGGAGAGCGGAAUUCCUGGUGUAGCGGUGAAAUGCGCAGAUAUCAGGAAGAACACCCGUGGCGAAGGCGGCUCUCUGGGACGGUACUGACGCUGAGACGCGAAAGCGUGGGGAUCAAACAGG